UAUAUUAAGCAAACAUUUUCUAGCUUUUUUUAUUUACAGAUAGCCAGGGACUCAAUCCAACACUCAGACAUCAUUUACAAACAAAGCAUGUGUUUAAUGAGUCUACCAGAUCAGAGGCAGUAGGGAUGACCAGGGAUGUUCUCUGUUUAGUGAGUCUACCAGAUCAGAGGCAGUAGGGAUGACCAGGGAUGUUCUCUGUUUAGUGAGUCUACCAGAUAGGAGGCAGUAGGGAUGACCAGGGAUGUUCUCUGUUUAGUGAGUCUACCAGAUUAGAGGCAGUAGGGAUGACCAGGGAUGUUCUCUGUUUAGUGAGUCUACCAGAUUAGAGGCAGUAGAGAUGACCAGGGAUGUUCUCUGUUUAGUGAGUCUACCAGAUCAGAGGCAGUAGGGAUGACCAGGGAUGUUCUCUGUUUAGUGAGUCUACCAGAUCAGAGACAGUAGGGAUGACCAGGGAUGUUCUCUGUUUAGUGAGUCUACCAGAUCAGAGGCAGUAGGGAUGACCAGGGAUGUUCUCUGUUUAUUGAGUCUACCAGAUCAGAGGCAGUAGGGAUGACCAGGGAUGUUCUCUGUUUAGUGAGUCUACCAGAUCAGAGGCAGUAGGGAUGACCAGGGAUGUUCUCUGUUUAAUGAGUCUACCAGAUCAGAGGCAGUACGGAUGACCAGGGAUGUUCUCUGUUUAGUGAGUCUACCAGAUCAGAGACAGUAGGGAUGACCAGGGAUGUUCUCUGUUUAGUGAGUCUACCAGAUCAGAGGCAGUAGGGAUGACCAGGGAUGUUCUCUGUUUAGUGAGUCUACCAGAUUAGAGGCAGUAGAGAUGACCAGGGAUGUUCUCUUGAUAAGUGUAUGAAUUAGAUCAUUUUCCUGUCCUGCUGAGCAUUCUAAAUGUAACGAGUACUUUUGGGUGUCAGGGAAAAUGUAUGGAGUAAAAAGUACAUUUUCUUUAGGAAUGUAAAAGUUGUCAAAAAUAGAAAUAGUAAAGUACAGUACAGAUACCCCACAAAAGCAGGUAGUAGGCUAGAUGCUGCUCACUGAUAAAUACCUGAAGUAAAUAUGUUCAUUAUUUCCCCAUUAAUAACCACCGGUGGAUCCUUCCUCUCCGCAGUUUAACGACUUGCUCUUUAAAAGAGAGAGAGUGCCUGGGUCACGGAGAGUGGGAGGGGGGAGAGUGGAUAGGAGGGAGAGGGAAGGGAGUGUAGAG
This 1198-nucleotide long non-coding RNA is filed under the name Salmo salar (Atlantic salmon). Its description in RNAcentral is "lncRNA (ENSSSAG00000117449.1)". Lineage: Eukaryota; Metazoa; Chordata; Actinopteri; Salmoniformes; Salmonidae. The record is from RNAcentral.